CCUACGGGGGGCAGCAGUGGGGAAUAUUGGGCAAUGGGCGCAAGCCUGACCCAGCAACGCCGCGUGAAGGAAGAAGGCUUUCGGGUUGUAAACUUCUUUUGACAGGGAAGAGUAGAAGACGGUACCUGUCGAAUAAGCCACGGCUAACUACGUGCCAGCAGCCGCGGUAAUACGUAGGUGGCAAGCGUUGUCCGGAUUUACUGGGUGUAAAGGGCGUGUAGCCGGGUUGACAAGUCAGAUGUGAAAUCCUGCGGCUUAACCGCAGAACUGCAUUUGAAACUGUUGAUCUUGAGUACUGGAGAGGC
Molecule: ribosomal RNA, 305 nt
Filed under: uncultured bacterium
Lineage: Bacteria
Description: bacterial SSU rRNA
Rfam family: Bacterial small subunit ribosomal RNA
Source: RNAcentral